GACCAGAAUGUCUAGUAUAGCACUUUAUACUGUGAACUGCGAAUGGCUCAUUAAAUCAGUUAUCGUUUAUUUGAUAGUACCUUACUACAUGGAUACCUGUGGUAAUUCUAGAGCUAAUACAUGCUAAAAACCCCGACUUCGGAAGGGGUGUAUUUAUUAGAUAAAAAACCAAUGCCCUUCGGGGCUCCUUGGUGAUUCAUAAUAACUUAACGAAUCGCAUGGCCUUGCGCCGGCGAUGGUUCAUUCAAAUUUCUGCCCUAUCAACUUUCGAUGGUAGGAUAGUGGCCUACCAUGGUGGCAACGGGUAACGGGGAAUUAGGGUUCGAUUCCGGAGAGGGAGCCUGAGAAACGGCUACCACAUCCAAGGAAGGCAGCAGGCGCGCAAAUUACCCAAUCCCGACACGGGGAGGUAGUGACAAUAAAUACUGAUACGGGGCUCUUUCGGGUCUCGUAAUUGGAAUGAGUACAAUCUAAAUCCCUUAACGAGGAACAAUUGGAGGGCAAGUCUGGUGCCAGCAGCCGCGGUAAUUCCAGCUCCAAUAGCGUAUAUUAAAGUUGUUGCAGUUAAAAAGCUCGUAGUUGAACCUUGGGUCUGGCUGGCCGGUCCGCCUCACCGCGAGUACUGGUCCGGCUGGACCUUUCCUUCUGGGGAAUCCCAUGGCCUUCACUGGCUGUGGGGGGAACCAGGACUUUUACUGUGAAAAAAUUAGAGUGUUCAAAGCAGGCCUUUGCUCGAAUACAUUAGCAUGGAAUAAUAGAAUAGGACGUGCGGUUCUAUUUUGUUGGUUUCUAGGACCGCCGUAAUGAUUAAUAGGGAUAGUCGGGGGCGUCAGUAUUCAGCUGUCAGAGGUGAAAUUCUUGGAUUUGCUGAAGACUAACUACUGCGAAAGCAUUCGCCAAAGGAUGUUUUCAUUAAUCAGGGAACGAAAGUUAGGGGAUCGAAGACGAUCAGAUACCGUCGUAGUCUUAACCAUAAACUAUGCCGACUAGGGAUCGGGCGGUGUUUCUAUGAUGACCCGCUCGGCACCUUACGAG
RNAcentral lists this ribosomal RNA (1035 nucleotides) under Aspergillus sp. Its description in RNAcentral is "SSU rRNA". It matches the Rfam family "Eukaryotic small subunit ribosomal RNA", at positions 47 to 1094 of the family's 1831-position model. Lineage: Eukaryota; Fungi; Ascomycota; Eurotiomycetes; Eurotiales; Aspergillaceae. The record is from RNAcentral.